RNAcentral lists this transfer RNA (72 nucleotides) under Chitinivibrionales bacterium. Its description in RNAcentral is "tRNA-Lys". It matches the Rfam family "tRNA". From Rfam's summary of the family: Transfer RNA (tRNA) molecules are approximately 80 nucleotides in length. Their secondary structure includes four short double-helical elements and three loops (D, anti-codon, and T loops). Lineage: Bacteria; Pseudomonadati; Fibrobacterota; Chitinivibrionia; Chitinivibrionales. The record is from RNAcentral.
GGGCCAGUAACUCAAUGGUAGAGUAUCGCCCUUUUAAGGCGAGAGUUGAUGGUUCGAGCCCAUCCUGGCCCA